RNAcentral lists this ribosomal RNA (478 nucleotides) under uncultured bacterium. RNAcentral's name for it is "partial 16S ribosomal RNA". It matches the Rfam family "Bacterial small subunit ribosomal RNA", at positions 28 to 523 of the family's 1533-position model. The record is from RNAcentral.
GACGAACGCUGGCGGCGUGCUUAACACAUGCAAGUCGAACGGUAAGGCCCUUCGGGGUACACGAGUGGCGAACGGGUGAGUAACACGUGGGUGAUCUGCCCUGCACUUCGGGAUAAGCCUGGGAAACUGGGUCUAAUACCGGAUAGGACUCCGGACUGCAUGGUCUGGGGUGGAAAGCUUUUGCGGUGUGGGAUGGGCCCGCGGCCUAUCAGCUUGUUGGUGGGGUGAUGGCCUACCAAGGCGACGACGGGUAGCCGGCCUGAGAGGGUGACCGGCCACACCGGGACUGAAAUACGGCCCAGACUCCUACGGGAGGCAGCAGUGGGGAAUAUUGCACAAAGGGCGCAAGCCUGAUGCAGCGACGCCGCGAGAGGGAUGACGGCAUUCGGGUUGGAAACCUCUUUCAGCAUCGACGAAGCGAAAGUGACGGUAGGUGCAGAAGAAGGACCGGCCAACUACGUGCCAGCCGCCGCCGUAA